This 147-nucleotide signal recognition particle RNA is filed under the name Pan paniscus (pygmy chimpanzee). RNAcentral describes it as "Metazoan signal recognition particle RNA". It matches the Rfam family "Metazoan signal recognition particle RNA". From Rfam's summary of the family: The signal recognition particle (SRP) is a universally conserved ribonucleoprotein. It is involved in the co-translational targeting of proteins to membranes. RNAcentral also lists the same sequence under 1 other name. Lineage: Eukaryota; Metazoa; Chordata; Mammalia; Primates; Hominidae. The record is from Rfam by way of RNAcentral.
GCCAGAUGUGGUGGUGCACUCCUGUAAUCCAGCUCCUCAGGAGGCUGAGGCAGGAGGAUUGCUUGAGCCCAGGAGAUCAAGGCUGCAGUGAACCGAGAUUGCACCACUGCACUCCAGCCUGGGUAAAAGAGCAAGAUCUUGUCUCAA